GAAAUGCGAUAAGUAGUGUGAAUUGCAGAAUUCAGUGAAUCAUCGAAUCUUUGAACGCACAUUGCGCCCCUUGGUAUUCCAUGGGGCAUGCCUGUUCGAGCGUCAUUUGUACCUUCAAGCUUUGCUUGGUGUUGGGUGUUUGUCUCGCCUCUGCGCGCAGACUCGCCUCAAAACAAUUGGCAGCCGGCGUAUUGAUUUCGGAGCGCAGUACAUCUCGCGCUUUGCACUCAUAACGACGACGUCCAAAAAGUACAUUUUUACACUCUUGACCUCGGAUCAGGUAGGGAUACCCGCUGAACUUAAGC
RNAcentral lists this unclassified non-coding RNA (305 nucleotides) under plant metagenome. RNAcentral describes it as "partial contains 5.8S ribosomal RNA, internal transcribed spacer 2, and large subunit ribosomal RNA". The stretch from base 1 to 105 matches the Rfam family "5.8S ribosomal RNA", at positions 50 to 154 of the family's 154-position model. The record is from RNAcentral.